CUACGGGUUGCUGCAGUGGGGAAUAUUGGACAAUGGGGGAAACCCUGAUCCAGCAAUGCCGCGUGUGUGAAGAAGGCCUGCGGGUUGUAAAGCACUUUCGGUUGGGAGGACUGCUUCUAGCACUAAUAUUGUUGGAAGUUGACGUUACCUUCAGAAGAAGCACCGGCUAACUCCGUGCCAGCAGCCGCGGUAAUACGGAGGGUGCAAGCGUUAAUCGGAAUUACUGGGCGUAAAGCGCGCGUAGGCGGCGAGAUCAGUCGGGUGUGAAAGCCCCGGGCUUAACCUGGGAACUGCAUCCGAUACUGUCUAGCUUGAGUACAGGAGAGGAGAGUGGAAUUCCACAUGUAGCGGUGAAAUGCGUAGAUAUGUGGAGGAACACCAAUGGCGAAGGCAGCUCUCUGGCCUGAUACUGACGCUGAGGUGCGAAAGCGUAGGGAGCAAACAGGAUUAGAUACCCGAGUAGUC
This 465-nucleotide ribosomal RNA is filed under the name uncultured bacterium. RNAcentral's name for it is "partial 16S ribosomal RNA". It matches the Rfam family "Bacterial small subunit ribosomal RNA", at positions 339 to 795 of the family's 1533-position model. The record is from RNAcentral.